RNAcentral lists this unclassified non-coding RNA (241 nucleotides) under Hevea brasiliensis (rubber tree). Lineage: Eukaryota; Viridiplantae; Streptophyta; Magnoliopsida; Malpighiales; Euphorbiaceae. The record is from RNAcentral.
UAGGUCUCCACCUUUUCCUCCUUGCUCCUGUCACUACUAAUUUAUUACAUUUCCAUACAAAAGCAUUGGAAAUGACCAAAUUAUCUUAAAUGAGACCUUCAUUUUAUCCUAAUCAUAGUUAUCAGAUUUGUUGGAUCCCUUUAGUUUCCCGUUCUAGUUUGUCCUUCCCAAUUCGUAAGGGGACGCGACCUAGGUUGCCAAAAUAAGCAAGUCCAAAAGUUUAAACAGAAAUUACAGAAAA